RNAcentral lists this ribosomal RNA (492 nucleotides) under uncultured bacterium. RNAcentral describes it as "partial 16S ribosomal RNA". It matches the Rfam family "Bacterial small subunit ribosomal RNA", at positions 28 to 507 of the family's 1533-position model. The record is from RNAcentral.
GAUGAACGCUGGCGGCGUGCCUAACACAUGCAAGUCGAACGGAAAGACGAUAAGCUUUUGCUCUUACCGGUAGCGGGUGGCGGAUGGGUAACGAGUGCAUCACAAACUUAUUAUUCGGGGAGGAUAACGUAAGGACACUUACACUACUACAGAAUAUAUUGUACGGGUGGAAGCAAUGGAUCUUCGCAGCUUUCGCGUUUGAAUUAGCCGAUGUCGGAUUAGCUAGUUGGCUGGGUAAAGGCCUACCAAGGCAACGAUCCGUAGCUGGCCUGAGAGGAUGAUCGGCCACACUGGAACUGAGACACGGUCCAGACUCCUACGGGAGGCAGCAGUGGGGAAUAUUGGGCAAUGGGCGAAAGCCUGACCCAGCCACGCCGCGUGAGUGAUGAAGGCCUUCGGGUUGUAAAGCCCUUUUGUUGGGGAAGAACAGCUGUGGGAGUAUACCUGGCCGUUCUGACGGUACCCAAUCAAAAAGCACCGGCUAACUACGUG